Molecule: ribosomal RNA, 242 nt
Filed under: uncultured bacterium
Lineage: Bacteria
Description: partial 16S ribosomal RNA
Rfam family: Bacterial small subunit ribosomal RNA
Source: RNAcentral
UCGGACAUUAGUAGAGUGGCAAACGGGUGAGUAACGCGUGGGAACAUACCUUAUAGUACGGGAUAGCCUCGGGAAACUGGGAUUAAUACCGUAUGCGCCCUUCGGGGGAAAGAUUUAUCGCUAUAAGAUUGGCCCGCGUCAGAUUAGCUAGUUGGUGGGGUAACGGCCUACCAAGGCAACGAUCUGUAGCUGGUCUGAGAGGACGAUCAGCCACAUUGGGACUGAGACACGGCCCAAACUCC